Molecule: ribosomal RNA, 327 nt
Filed under: uncultured eukaryote
Lineage: Eukaryota
Description: partial 18S ribosomal RNA
Rfam family: Eukaryotic small subunit ribosomal RNA
Source: RNAcentral
CCCUUAGAUGUUCUGGGCCGCACACGCGCUACACUGAAGGAGGCAGCGUGUACUCCUGGAUCGAAAGACUUGGGUAACCCGCGAAUCUCCUUCGUGCUAGGGAUUGAGGUUUGCAAUUAUCCUUCAUGAACGAGGAAUUCCCAGUAAGUGCAAGUCAUAAGCUUGCGCUGACUACGUCCCUGCCCUUUGUACACACCGCCCGUCGCUACUACCGAUUGAAUGAUUUAGUGAGGACUUCGGACUGGGACCGAUGCGGCUUUCGGGCUGCGUCGGUAUUCUGGAAAGAUGUCCAAACUGUAUCAUUUAGAGGAAGUAAAAGUCGUANCA